GCAAGUCGAGCGCAGUCCUUCGGGACCGAGCGGCGGACGGGUUAGUAACGCGUGGGAAUGUACCCUUCUCUAAGGAAUAGCCUCGGGAAACUGAGAGUAAUACCUUAUACGCCCUUCGGGGGAAAGAUUUAUCGGUGAAGGAUUAGCCCGCGUCUGAUUAGAUAGUUGGUGGGGUAAUGGCCUACCAAGUCUACGAUCAGUAGCUGGUUUGAGAGGAUGAUC
This 222-nucleotide ribosomal RNA is filed under the name uncultured bacterium. Its description in RNAcentral is "partial 16S ribosomal RNA". It matches the Rfam family "Bacterial small subunit ribosomal RNA", at positions 57 to 305 of the family's 1533-position model. The record is from RNAcentral.